UUCCGGUUGAUCCUGCCGGACCUGACUGCUAUCGGAUUGAUACUAAGCCAUGCGAGUCAUUGUAGCAAUACAAGGCAGACGGCUCAGUAACGCGUAGUCAACCUACCCUAUGGACGGGGAUAACCUCGGGAAACUGAGAAUAAUACCCGAUAGAACACUAUACCUGGAAUGGUUUGUGUUCCAAAUAAUUUAUUGCCGUAGGAUGGGACUGCGGCCUAUCAGUUUGUUGGUGAGGUAAUGGCCCACCAAGACUAUUACAGGUACGGGCUCUGAGAGGAGUGGCCCGGAGAUGGGUACUGAGACACGGACCCAGGCCCUAUGGGGCGCAGCAGGCGAGAAAACUUUGCAAUGUGCGAAAGCACGACAAGGUUAAUCCGAGUGAUUUCUGCUAAAGAAAUCUUUUGUCAGUCAUAAAACCACUGACGAAUAAGGGGUGGGCAAGUUCUGGUGUCAGCCGCCGCGGUAAAACCAGCACCUCAAGUGGUCAGGAGGAUUAUUGGGCCUAAAGCAUCCGUAGCCGGCUCUGUAAGUUUUCGGUUAAAUCCAUGUGCUCAACGCAUGGGCUGCCGAAAAUACUGCAUAGCUAGGGAGUGGGAGAGGUAGACGGUACUCGGUAGGAAGGGGUAAAAUCCUUUGAUCUAUCGAUGACCACCUGUGGCGAAGGCGGUCUACCAGAACACGUUCGACGGUGAGGGAUGAAAGCUGGGGGAGCAAACCGGAUUAGAUACCCGGGUAGUCCCAGCUGUAAACGAUGCAGACUCGAUGAUGCAUUGGCAUAUAGCCAGUGCAGUGUCGCAGGGAAGCCGUUAAGUCUGCCGCCUGGGAAGUACGUCGCAAGAGAUCAACUUAAACGAAUUGGCGGGGAACAC
RNAcentral lists this ribosomal RNA (869 nucleotides) under uncultured crenarchaeote. Its description in RNAcentral is "bacterial SSU rRNA". It matches the Rfam family "Archaeal small subunit ribosomal RNA", at positions 1 to 879 of the family's 1478-position model. The record is from RNAcentral. Lineage: Archaea; Thermoproteati; Thermoproteota.